GACGAACGCGGCGGCGUGCUAAUACAUGCAAGUCGAGCGCGGGAAGCUUGCGGAAUCCUUCGGGAGGAAGUGAGCGGACCGAGCGGCGGACGGGUGAGUAACACGUGGGCAACCUGCCCGUAAGACGGGGAUAACCCCGGGAAAUCCGGGGCUAAUACCGGAUAGGUGACCUUUCUGCAUGGAGGGGUCAUGAAAGGCGGCGGAAGCCGUCGCUUACGGAGGGGCCCGCGGCGCAUUAGCUAGUUGGUGAGGGAAGGGCUCACCAAGGCGACGAUGCGUAGCCGGCCUGAGAGGGUGAACGGCCACACUGGCUACUGAGACACGGCCCAGACUCCUACCUGGAUGCAGCAGUAGGGAAUCUUCCGCAAUGGACGGAAGUCUGACGGAGCAACGCCGCGCUAGUGAGGAAGGCCUUUCGGGUCGUAAA
RNAcentral lists this ribosomal RNA (427 nucleotides) under Bacillus sp. oral taxon F28. RNAcentral's name for it is "bacterial SSU rRNA". It matches the Rfam family "Bacterial small subunit ribosomal RNA", at positions 28 to 429 of the family's 1533-position model. The record is from RNAcentral. Lineage: Bacteria; Bacillati; Bacillota; Bacilli; Caryophanales; Bacillaceae.